RNAcentral lists this ribosomal RNA (599 nucleotides) under uncultured bacterium. RNAcentral describes it as "bacterial SSU rRNA". It matches the Rfam family "Bacterial small subunit ribosomal RNA", at positions 9 to 653 of the family's 1533-position model. The record is from RNAcentral.
GAGUUUGAUCCUGGCUCAGAAUGAACGCUGGCGGCAUGCCUAACACAUGCAAGUCGAACGAAGGCUUCGGCCUUAGUGGCGCACGGGUGCGUAACGCGUGGGAAUCUGCCCUCAGGUUCGGAAUAACAGCGAGAAAUUGCUGCUAAUACCGGAUGAUAUCGCGAGAUCAAAGAUUUAUCGCCUGAGGAUGAGCCCGCGUAGGAUUAGCUAGUUGGUGUGGUAAAGGCGCACCAAGGCGACGAUCCUUAGCUGGUCUGAGAGGAUGAUCAGCCACACUGGGACUGAGACACGGCCCAGACUCCUACGGGAGGCAGCAGUGGGGAAUAUUGGACAAUGGGCGAAAGCCUGAUCCAGCAAUGCCGCGUGAGUGAUGAAGGCCUUAGGGUUGUAAAGCUCUUUUACCCGGGAUGAUAAUGACAGUACCGGGAGAAUAAGCUCCGGCUAACUCCGUGCCAGCAGCCGCGGUAAUACGGAGGGAGCUAGCGUUAUUCGGAAUUACUGGGCGUAAAGCGCACGUAGGCGGCUUUGUAAGUUAGAGGUGAAAAGCCUGGAGCUCAACUCCAGAAUUGCCUUUAAGACUGCAUCGUUGAAUCCAGGAG